GAUUACAUGAAAAAUUAUUUUGUGGAUUACAUCAUGAUUGUGGUUUGAUUUUAAAAUAGCUCCUCUGUUUCCAUUUAGCUUUAAUUCUGUUCAGCUAUGUUCGACUAUGAUCAGUGGGAAUACAGCAGGGGCAAAUUCUGUCACGUCUCUGACAACUGUAAGAGUUUAUGAGCACCGGGAGCAGAAUUUCACCUCACUAUUAAUAGUAAAAGAAUCUGUUUGAACUGCCGUCCGGUGCGUUGAGACCCUUCUUAAAAUUAGGACACCCAGGAGGAAAAUCUGUCUUAUUGCUUCAGACAUGAGGAUAAAUCUGCAGCAAAAGGUUGGUGUCAUAGCACAAGAUCAGCCAUGAUACAGCCCCCAUGGAGAAGAAAGGGUUAAUUUAAUCACGUGGAACCGAGGAGAGAGAGUGAAGAUGCCAUGACUCCCUCCCAGAGAUGCCACAAGUAGACUCCUGUGGC
Long non-coding RNA from Tachysurus fulvidraco (yellow catfish), 461 nucleotides. RefSeq lists it as uncharacterized. The record is from RefSeq and is a predicted model, not a curated record. The transcript has 3 exons. Lineage: Eukaryota; Metazoa; Chordata; Actinopteri; Siluriformes; Bagridae.